UACAGAGGGGGCAAGCGUUGUUCGGAAUUACUGGGCGUAAAGGGCGCGUAGGCGGCCUGCUAAGUCGAACGUGAAAUCCCCGGGCUCAACCCGGGAACUGCGUCCGAUACUGGUGGGCUUGAAUCCGGGAGAGGGAUGUGGAAUUCCAGGUGUAGCGGUGAAAUGCGUAGAUAUCUGGGGGAACACCGGUGGCGAAGGCGGCAUCCUGGACCGGUAUUGACGCUGAGGCGCGAAAGCCAGGGGAGCAAACGGG
Molecule: ribosomal RNA, 253 nt
Filed under: uncultured bacterium
Lineage: Bacteria
Description: partial 16S ribosomal RNA
Rfam family: Bacterial small subunit ribosomal RNA
Source: RNAcentral